This 801-nucleotide ribosomal RNA is filed under the name uncultured Rubrobacter sp. RNAcentral's name for it is "bacterial SSU rRNA". It matches the Rfam family "Bacterial small subunit ribosomal RNA", at positions 8 to 796 of the family's 1533-position model. The record is from RNAcentral. Lineage: Bacteria; Bacillati; Actinomycetota; Rubrobacteria; Rubrobacterales; Rubrobacteraceae.
AGAGUUUGAUCCUGGCUCAGGACGAACGCUGACGGUGUGCUUUAGACAUGCAAGUCGAACGAGAAAGCCCUUCGGGGUGAGUACAGUGGCGAACGGGUGAGUAACACGUGGGUAACCUGCCCCUCGCAGGGGGACAACCGGGGGAAACCCCGGCUAAUACCCCGUACGCUUGCCGGGCCGCAUGACCCGGCAAGGAAAGGUAGCUUCGGCCAUCCGGCGAGGGAUGGGCCCGCGGUCCAUUAGCUAGUUGGUGGGGUAACGGCCCACCAAGGCGACGAUGGAUAGCUGGUCUGAGAGGAUGAUCAGCCACACUGGGACUGAGACACGGCCCAGACUCCUACGGGAGGCAGCAGUCGGGAAUCUUGCGCAAUGGGCGAAAGCCUGACGCAGCAACACCGUGUGGGCGACGAAGGCCUUCGGGUCGUAAAGCCCUGUUGUUGGGGACGAAGGGCGAAGGGUUAAUAGCCCCUAGUCUGACGAUACCCUUCGAGGAAGCCCCGGCUAACUACGUGCCAGCAGCCGCGGUAAUACGUAGGGGGCGAGCGUUGUCCGGAAUUAUUGGGCGUAAAGAGCGUGUAGGCGGUUCGGUAAGUCUGCCGUGAAAACCCGGGGCUCAACCCUGGGCGUGCGGUGGAUACUGCCGGGCUAGAGGAUGGUAGAGGCGAGUGGAAUUCCCGGUGUAGCGGUGAAAUGCGCAGAUAUCGGGAGGAACACCAGUAGCGAAGGCGGCUCGCUGGGCCAUUCCUGACGCUGAGACGCGAAAGCUAGGGGAGCGAACAGGAUUAGAUACCCCAGUAGUCC